GAUGAACGCUGGCGGCGUGCUUAACACAUGCAAGUCGAACGAAGCACUUUAACCUGAUUCUUCGGAUGAAGGUUUUUGUGACUGAGUGGCGGACGGGUGAGUAACGCGUGGGUAACCUGCCUCAUACAGGGGGAUAACAGUUAGAAAUGACUGCUAAUACCGCAUAAGACCACAGAGCCGCAUGGCUCGGUGGGCAAAACUCCGGUGGUAUGAGAUGGAAGCGCGUCUGAUUAGGUAGUUGGUGGGGUAACGGCCUACCCAGGCAACGACCAGUAGCCGAGAUGAGAGCGUGACCCGCAACAUUUGAGCUGAGCCACGGCCCACAAUCCUACGGAAGGCGGGAGUGGGUAAUAUUGCACAAUCGGGGAAAACAUGAUGGAGCGACGACGCGUGAGCUCAGAAGUAUUGCGGUAUGUAAAGCUCUAUCAGCAGGGAAGAAAAUGACGGUACCUGACUAAGAAGCACCGGCUAAAUACGUG
RNAcentral lists this ribosomal RNA (479 nucleotides) under uncultured bacterium. Its description in RNAcentral is "partial 16S ribosomal RNA". It matches the Rfam family "Bacterial small subunit ribosomal RNA", at positions 28 to 507 of the family's 1533-position model. The record is from RNAcentral.